AACGCGAAGAACCUUACCAACCCUUGACAUGGAUAUCGCGGCUCUGGAGACAGAGCUUUCAGUUCGGCUGGAUAUCACACAGGUGCUGCAUGGCUGUCGUCAGCUCGUGUCGUGAGAUGUUCGGUUAAGUCCGGCAACGAGCGCAACCCACAUUUUUAGUUGCCAGCAUUCAGUUGGGCACUCUAGAAAAACUGCCGGUGAUAAGCCGGAGGAAGGUGUGGAUGACGUCAAGUCCUCAUGGCCCUUACGGGUUGGGCUACACACGUGCUACAAUGGUGGUGACAAUGGGUUAAUCCCAAAAAGCCAUCUCAGUUCGGAUUGGGGUCUGCAACUCGACCCCAUGAAGUCGGAAUCGCUAGUAAUCGCGUAACAGCAUGACGCGGUGAAUACGUUCCCGGGCCUUGUACACACCG
RNAcentral lists this ribosomal RNA (413 nucleotides) under uncultured Rhodobacter group bacterium 131-1-2. Its description in RNAcentral is "bacterial SSU rRNA". It matches the Rfam family "Bacterial small subunit ribosomal RNA", at positions 958 to 1392 of the family's 1533-position model. The record is from RNAcentral. Lineage: Bacteria; Pseudomonadati; Pseudomonadota; Alphaproteobacteria; Rhodobacterales; Paracoccaceae.